This 484-nucleotide ribosomal RNA is filed under the name uncultured bacterium. RNAcentral's name for it is "partial 16S ribosomal RNA". It matches the Rfam family "Bacterial small subunit ribosomal RNA", at positions 30 to 507 of the family's 1533-position model. The record is from RNAcentral.
AUUGAACGCUGGCGGCAGGCCUAACACAUGCAAGUCGAGCGGAUGAAGGGAGCUUGCUCCUGGAUUCAGCUGCGGACGGGUGAGUAAUGCCUAGGAAUCUGCCUGGUAGUGGGGGAUAACGUCCGGAAACGGGCGCUAAUACCGCAUACGUCCUGAGUGAGAAAGUGGGGGAUCUUCGGACCUCACGCUAUCAGAUGAGCCUAGGUCGGAUUAGCUAGUUGGUGGGGUAAAGGCCUACCAAGGCGACGAUCCGUAACUGGUCUGAGAGGAUGAUCAGUCACACUGGAACUGAGACACGGUCCAGACUCCUACGGGAGGCAGCAGUGGGGAAUAUUGGACAAUGGGCGAAAGCCUGAUCCAGCCAUGCCGCGUGUGUGAAGAAGGUCUUCGGAUUGUAAAGCACUUUAAGUUGGGAGGAAGGGCAGUAAGUUAAUACCUUGCUGUUUUGACGUUACCAACAGAAUAAGCACCGGCUAACUUCGUG